RNAcentral lists this long non-coding RNA (415 nucleotides) under Homo sapiens (human). Its description in RNAcentral is "HSALNT0321119". The record is from RNAcentral. Lineage: Eukaryota; Metazoa; Chordata; Mammalia; Primates; Hominidae.
CAGUGCCUUGUGGAUGCCUAGUUCACAAAAUACAAAGAUCAGAAACUAUCAGCAUGUGUCUUGGAAAGAGCCAACCUGAAGAAAGAGCUGCAGUGAUUCCUAUCCUGGCUGCAUAUCCAGCGACCCGGGGAAAACACUCAGAGGCACACAUACUCAGCCCUCAGCCCUGAAGAUUAUGAUUUAAUCCACCUUGAGUGGAAUCCAAGAAUCUAUAUGUUUAAUGGAAACCUCCAGAAAAAUCUGAUGCAGUCAGUCUGAGUAAUAACUCUCAUAGAGUUAUCAUCUUAAAAUAAAAAUAAGCUUUGUGAUUUAUCAAAAUGAUACCUGAAAUACCUUUUAAAGAGGAUGUCUAAUAAUUAUAUAAUUUGAAGUAGAAGGUUAUCAUUCUCUAAUAAUGAGGUUAGUUACACUCUGG